AGGACGAACGCUGGCGGCGUGCCUAACACAUGUAAGUCGAACGGGGUUAAUGACUUCGGUUAUUAACUUAGUGGCGAACGGAUGAGUAACGCGUGAGAAACCUUUCUUUCAGUGGGGGACAACAGUUGGAAACGACUGCUAAUACCGCAUAAUGUUAUUUAGGGGCAUCCCUGAAUAACCAAAGCUUAAUGUGCUGAAAGAUGGUCUCGCGUCUGAUUAGCUAGAUGGCGGGGUAACGGCCCACCAUGGCGACGAUCAGUAGCCGGUCUGAGAGGAUGAACGGCCACAUUGGGACUGAGAUACGGCCCAGACUCCUACGGGAGGCAGCAGUGGGGAAUAUUGGGCAAUGGGGGAAACCCUGACCCAGCAACGCCGCGUGAAGGAAGAAGGCCUUCGGGUUGUAAACUUCUUUUACCAGGGACGAAGAACGUGACGGUACCUGGAGAAAAAGCAACGGCUAACUACGUGCCAGCAGCCGCGGUAAUACGUAGGUUGCAAGCGUUGUCCGGAUUUACUGGGUGUAAAGGGCGUGUAGGCGGAGAUGCAAGUUGGGAGUGAAAUCCCGGGGCUCAACCCCGGAACUGCUUUCAAAACUGCAUCCCUUGAGUAUCGGAGAGGCAAGCGGAAUUCCUAGUGUAGCGGUGAAAUGCGUAGAUAUUAGGAGGAACACCAGUGGCGAAGGCGGCUUGCUGGACGACAACUGACGCUGGAAGCGCGAAAGCGUGGGGAGCAAACAGGAUUAGAUACCCUGGUAGUCCCCCCUGGUAAAAAAGAAUACUGGGGUGGUGGGAGGACUGACCCCCUUCCGUGCCGCAGUUAACACAAUAAGUAUUCCACCUGGGGAGUACGACCGCAAGGUUGAAACUCAAAGGAAUUGACGGGGGCCCGCACAAGCAGUGGAUUAUGUGGUUUUAAUUCGACGCAACGCGAAGAACCUUAACAAAAAAAGACAUCCAACUAACGAAGUAGAGAUACAUUAGGUGCCCUUCGGGGAAAGUUGAGACAGGUGGUGCAUGGUUGUCGUCAGCUCGUGUCGUGAGAUGUUGGGUUAAGUCCCGCAACGAGCGCAACCCCUAUUGUUAGUUGCUACGCAAGAGCACUCUAGCGAGACUGCCGUUGACAAAACGGAGGAAGGCGGGGACGACGUCAAAUCAUCAUGCCCCUUAUGUCCUGGGCUACACACGUAAUACAAUGGUGGUAAACAGAGGGAAGCAAAACCGCGAGGAGGAGCAAACCCCUAAAAGCCAUCUCAGUUCGGAUUGCAGGCUGCAACUCGCCUGCAUGAAGCUGCAUUUAGGGUAAUCGCGGAUCAGCAUGCCGCGGUGAA
Molecule: ribosomal RNA, 1327 nt
Filed under: uncultured bacterium
Lineage: Bacteria
Description: bacterial SSU rRNA
Rfam family: Bacterial small subunit ribosomal RNA
Source: RNAcentral